UACGGAGGGAGCUAGCGCUGUUCGGAAUUACUGGGCGUAAAGCGCACGUAGGCGGCGAUUCAAGUCAGAGGUGAAAGCCCGGGGCUCAACCCCGGAACUGCCUUUGAAACUAGAUCGCUAGAAUCUUGGAGAGGUCAGUGGAAUUCCGAGUGUAGAGGUGAAAUUCGUAGAUAUUCGGAAGAACACCAGUGGCGAAGGCGACUGACUGGACAAGUAUUGACGCUGAGGUGCGAAAGCGUGGGGAGCAAACAGG
This 253-nucleotide ribosomal RNA is filed under the name uncultured bacterium. RNAcentral's name for it is "partial 16S ribosomal RNA". It matches the Rfam family "Bacterial small subunit ribosomal RNA", at positions 524 to 776 of the family's 1533-position model. The record is from RNAcentral.